GUCCACGCCCUAAACGAUGAAUACUCGAUGUUGGCGAUAUACGGUCAGCGUCUAAGCGAAAGCGUUAAGUAUUCCACCUGGGGAGUACGCCCGCAAGGGUGAAACUCAAAGGAAUUGACGGGGGCCCGCACAAGCGGAGGAGCAUGUGGUUUAAUUCGAUGAUACGCGAGGAACCUUACCCGGGCUUGAAAGUUAGUGAAUGAAGCAGAGACGCUUCAGUCCUUCGGGACACGAAACUAGGUGCUGCAUGGCUGUCGU
This 258-nucleotide ribosomal RNA is filed under the name uncultured bacterium. RNAcentral's name for it is "partial 16S ribosomal RNA". It matches the Rfam family "Bacterial small subunit ribosomal RNA", at positions 793 to 1055 of the family's 1533-position model. The record is from RNAcentral.